GAUGAACGCUGGCGGCGUGCUUAACACAUGCAAGUCGAACGAUGAAGCCCAGCUUGCUGGGUGGAUUAGUGGCGAACGGGUGAGUAACACGUGAGUAACCUGCCCUUAACUCUGGGAUAAGCCUGGGAAACUGGGUCUAAUACCGGAUAGGAGCGUCCACCGCAUGGUGGGUGUUGGAAAGAUUUAUCGGUUUUGGAUGGACUCGCGGCCUAUCAGCUUGUUGGUGAGGUAAUGGCUCACCAAGGCGACGACGGGUAGCCGGCCUGGGAGGGUGAACGGCCACCCUGGGACUGCGACACGGCCCAGACUCCUACGGGAGGCAGCAGUGGGGAAUAUUGCACAAUGGGCGCAAGCCUGAUGCAGCGACGCCGCGUGAGGGAUGACGGCCUUCGGGUUGUAAACCUCUUUCAGUAGGGAAGAAGCGAAAGUGACGGUACCUGCAGAAGAAGCACCGGCUAACUACGUG
RNAcentral lists this ribosomal RNA (466 nucleotides) under uncultured bacterium. RNAcentral's name for it is "partial 16S ribosomal RNA". It matches the Rfam family "Bacterial small subunit ribosomal RNA", at positions 28 to 507 of the family's 1533-position model. The record is from RNAcentral.